AUGGCGGUGCACGGCCCAGAAACUGCUGCCCAAACUGCUGCGGGCGACAGGGCUGCGGAAUCUGGCUCCAGAAGGGAGGGCAGGGCUGAGGUCCGGAGGGACGGGCAGAGAAAGGGCUCCCCCAUGAGGGCUGAGACCCUCUGUGUGCAGGUGGSCGCACCCGGGCGGGUGUGCAGGGGCAGCAGGAAGGGGAGGACGAGCUGCCAGGGGGCUCAGCUCCGUUCCCUCCCUGGCCUCUCACCCCGGCCAGGGGCAGCUCAGAGGCACGAGCGGGCCAAGGGCAUGCAGGGACCCUCCAGUGGGACCUCCUGGCUGACCCAGUGGGCACAACACCUCCAUGGGGCCGGGAGGAGGAGGAGGAGGGCAGCUGCUGCAAGGGCCUCGCAGGGCCCCAUUGGGUGUGGGGGAUGUGGGGGGGAGGGGCUGGGCGUGGCUGUGGCCCUGCCCCCGAUUGUUGGGUGGGGCCCUGCGCACAAUAGGAGGCAGCCGGGCACUGGCGGAUGUCCCUGGCGGUGGUGGUGGUGGCCGAGCAGGAGUUGUGUCCGUGGCGCGAGCGUCCCGAGCGCAGCAAGAGCCUGUGAGCCGCACAGUGUAAGAGCCGCUUCCUUCCCUCCUCUGCCCCGCAUGGGCAAAGAGGCUGCAGGGAGCCGGGCUCGGGGCUGCCGCAGCUUCAGCGCGGCCCCGGCCACUGGGUGGCCAGAGGGGACGAGGAGGGGACGAGGAGCCACAUGCUCUCUGGUCUGCUCCGAGACCCAGCAACGGGCUCUCACUUCCAAGGAGAGGCUCUUCUCCUCUGGGUUUUGGGACCUUCUCCGUGACCUCCCUCUUCCCUUUGGCCAGUGCUUGUGCUUCGGGGCACCGGGGAAAAGUAUUCCCCGCCUAAAAGGAGAAGAAGAGAGUCUCCUGGCACAGCGCCCCUGCUUGGGAGAUGCAGAAGAGCUGCCCUUUCUCAGCCUGAGAAGAUAUCUCGGCCUGAGAGGGCAGGGGAUAUCACCAAGUGUCCUGUGCAAGCAAAGAAGAGGAUGGUAA
This 1029-nucleotide long non-coding RNA is filed under the name Apteryx haastii (Great spotted kiwi). Its description in RNAcentral is "lncRNA (ENSAHAG00000015607.1)". Lineage: Eukaryota; Metazoa; Chordata; Aves; Apterygiformes; Apterygidae. The record is from RNAcentral.